Non-coding RNA from Pelobates cultripes (western spadefoot toad), 275 nucleotides. Lineage: Eukaryota; Metazoa; Chordata; Amphibia; Anura; Pelobatidae. The record is from the annotation of a GenBank genome assembly.
GCACUCACAAAGGUAGAGCAGAUAAAGCCUGCUCUAAUUAUAACAGCUUCUUCAAAUAUAGGACUGCACAGACAAAAUAUUCCAAAAGAUAUAUUUAUUGCCCAGCACAGCACAAGUAUGUCACCUUCCUCCACAUCCAGUACAGGGUUACAGAGUGUUCAGCUAUAUGCAGCUUAGGGUGUCGACUAUUCCCUCUGUUUGUUCGCCGCCGUUAUUGCCGUUUCCACUGCAGCUUCCUCAAACUUCCGGGGGGAGGGGACUUCCAAGAGUGCGUG